UCCCCCAAAUACAGUGGCGGUCCCGCCGCAGCUUCCAUCGCGUAGUAGCUAACACCUCGCGAUUGGAGAGCGGCGCGGCCACGCCGUAAAACACCCAACUCUUCUGAAGUUGACCUCGAAUCAGGUAGGAAUACCCGCUGAACUUAAGCAUAUCAAUAAGCGGAGGAAAAGAAACCAACAGGGAUUGCCCCAGUAACGGCGAGUGAAGCGGCAACAGCUCAAAUUUGAAAUCUGGCUCUCGGGCCCGAGUUGUAAUUUGUAGAGGAUGCUUUUGGUGAGGUGCCUUCCGAGUUCCCUGGAACGGGACGCCACAGAGGGUGAGAGCCCCGUCUGGUUGGACGCCGAACCUCUGUAAAGCUCCUUCGACGAGUCGAGUAGUUUGGGAAUGCUGCUCUAAAUGGGAGGUAUAUGUCUUCUAAAGCUAAAUACCGGCCAGAGACCGAUAGCGCACAAGUAGAGUGAUCGAAAGAUGAAAAGAACUUUGAAAAGAGAGUUAAACAGUACGUGAAAUUGUUGAAAGGGAA
RNAcentral lists this ribosomal RNA (524 nucleotides) under uncultured Hypocreales. RNAcentral's name for it is "eukaryotic LSU rRNA". The stretch from base 111 to 524 matches the Rfam family "Eukaryotic large subunit ribosomal RNA", at positions 1 to 418 of the family's 3401-position model. The record is from RNAcentral. Lineage: Eukaryota; Fungi; Ascomycota; Sordariomycetes; Hypocreales.